GCCUGUGGCUGUACCACCCUGAACAUGCCCAGUCUUUACCUGAUCUUCAAAGCUAAGCAGGAUUGGUCCUGGCUAGUACUUGGAUGGGCGAUCCAGAAGUGUUGGAAGUUUGAGGUC
Molecule: ribosomal RNA, 117 nt
Filed under: Jaculus jaculus (lesser Egyptian jerboa)
Lineage: Eukaryota; Metazoa; Chordata; Mammalia; Rodentia; Dipodidae
Source: RNAcentral